UACGUAUGGAGCAAGCGUUAUCCGGAUUUACUGGGUGUAAAGGGAGCGCAGGCGGUCUGGCGAGUCUGAUGUGAAAGGCCGGGGCUCAACCCCGGGACUGCAUUGGAAACUGUCAGACUGGAGUGUCGGAGAGGUAAGCGGAAUUCCUAGUGUAGUGGUGAAAUGCGUAGAUAUUAGGAGGAACACCAGUGGCGAAGGCGGCUUACUGGACGAUGACUGACGCUGAGGCUCGAAAGCGUGGGGAGCAAACAGG
Molecule: ribosomal RNA, 253 nt
Filed under: uncultured bacterium
Lineage: Bacteria
Description: partial 16S ribosomal RNA
Rfam family: Bacterial small subunit ribosomal RNA
Source: RNAcentral